GGCUUAUUGGACAGUAAAGAAAAACAAUUUGAAGUCAGUGAUUCAACGUAAUCAUGAAGACAUAUGCAACCAUAUUUGCUAUAAUUUCAGUAAGUUGGGCGAUUCACCUUCAUUUUUGCGUGGCAGAUGUGGGCACAGCAACCUCUUAUGGCCCUCCUUACGUUCAUAAGUAUCGUUUGCUUGAUAAAGCAUUUCACCAAAACCUUUUGUUUUAGGUUUGAUUAUACUGUAAGGGGUUCUGAUUUGAUAUUCCGCUGGAUUAUAUGAGUCGAAAGGUUGUACGACCAUUUAUUAAUAUAUUUUCUGGUAGGUUGAUUUUUUUAUUUGGGUUUUGCAGCAACUUCUUGCUAUGGGUACAAUCAGAGGCAAUUCCCAGCAGGCAAUCUCUUUGGAGCGGCUAAUGACGCAAUUUGGGACAACCAGGCUGCCUGCGGAAGAAAGUACAGAAUCAGAUGUUUGAGCGGAACAAGUAAUGAAAGAGUUAAUCCAUAAAGAAAAAGAUCGCUUGUGGUAAAGAUUCUGGAUUACUGUUCUUCCGCUGGAUGCGAUAAUGGCUAUGCAACUUUCCAUUUAUCUGCGGAUGCGUUUUCUCACAUUGCUCAUUCCUCUGCUAAAAAGAUUAACGUCGAAUACGAACAAGUGUGAUCCAUCAGACUUGUUCACGAAGGUAUUUGAGGGGCUAAUGCUAGAGACGUGUGAUCCAUCAGACUUGUUAACUGUCGAUGCUUACUUCUAUACCCUCCGCUUUGUUAGAGGGAUAUUGUCAAACAUACAGAGCUUCAUUCAAUGUAUAUGCAGCGGUAGCAAGUUUAGAAUUUGAUGGUCAUCUGUAUCUAUUAUAUGUAAAUUUUAUGACAAUGGUUCUCAUUUAAAUGUUUU
Cryptomeria japonica (Japanese cedar) is the source of this 879-nucleotide long non-coding RNA. RefSeq lists it as uncharacterized. The record is from RefSeq and is a predicted model, not a curated record. NCBI's taxonomy places the organism in Eukaryota, Viridiplantae, Streptophyta, Pinopsida, Cupressales, Cupressaceae. The transcript has 2 exons.